This 253-nucleotide ribosomal RNA is filed under the name uncultured bacterium. RNAcentral's name for it is "partial 16S ribosomal RNA". It matches the Rfam family "Bacterial small subunit ribosomal RNA", at positions 524 to 776 of the family's 1533-position model. The record is from RNAcentral.
UACAGAGGUCUCAAGCGUUGUUCGGAUUCAUUGGGCGUAAAGGGUGCGUAGGCGGAUGUGUCAGUCAGGGGUGAAAUCCCGGAGCUCAACUUCGGAACUGCCUUUGAUACAGCACGUCUUGAGUCCGAUAGAGGUGGGUGGAAUUCCUAGUGUAGAGGUGAAAUUCGUAGAUAUUAGGAAGAACACCGGUGGCGAAGGCGGCCCACUGGAUCGGUACUGACGCUGAGGUGCGAAAGCGUGGGGAGCAAACAGG